Ictidomys tridecemlineatus (thirteen-lined ground squirrel) is the source of this 952-nucleotide non-coding RNA. The record is from RefSeq and is a predicted model, not a curated record. NCBI's taxonomy places the organism in Eukaryota, Metazoa, Chordata, Mammalia, Rodentia, Sciuridae.
GCCGGGCUCGGGGUUUCUCGGUUUUCGGCGUCACAAUAAUAAGGAAGUUUCCCCGCAAGCCUGCGGGCGGCGGAAUGCGCUGGGUGAAGGACUUCGCACCUGGCCAAUGGACGUUCUUAUGGGCUGAACGCGCACCAAUAAUGAGAUAACCGAAAGCCUUGGGAGCAGGGUGAAAAAAAGCUAGAGCGUGAUAAAUGAGGGUGAGUGCAGUAUUCUGUUUUACUUGUCUUCGGAGGACCACGGGAAGCGCAGAGCCGAAACGUGUGGGAUCUGGAGCUGCGCAGUGAGAGAGGCGGGAAGGAGGUCCGCUGCAGCGGAGAGUGCUGCCAGCGCCCUUCUGGAGAGUUGAAAACCGGAGAGGAGAGCUGUGCUGCUGAAGAAAAGAGAGCUUGAACGAGCAUGAAAAGCAGAGUCCCUGAGCAUAAAUCGUCAUUUGAAAGAUACCCUGUGUCCUAAAACUCAGUAACGGAAGUUUGCCCUUCUUCACUUUCUCAGGCACUGUAUCUCUCAGAGCUUCCUCCUCCUCCCCAAGGUCACAAGUGCUUUCAGACUCUCCCUGGCCCUUAUCUGAUCCACAGAUAAUCUUUUGAAGAAAACAUUCUCAGAGGUGACUUCAGGUGUCAGCCCUUCUUAAAUGUGAAAUGCAGAACACUGAGAAUGAAAUGCAGAACACUGAGAAAUUACUGCUUUAACCCAAAGGGAUGACUUUCCUAGUGGAAGAAUUUUUAAACCCUGGCAUUUGAACCAGGAAAAAUCAAGGACAAAGGACGCUUAAAUCACCUCAGGUCUGCAAUCACCUGGUCUGAGGACCUAAUAGAUUGACCAAGCAGAAAAAAGUUUUGAGGAGUAGUGUAUCCUGAUGAUGAGACAGUGUUGGCUUCAAGUGAAUCCUCAGUGAAAUAAGGCAAACUGUCAAAUACCCCUGAGACAAUAAAGAUUUUUUUAAAAAGUA